RNAcentral lists this ribosomal RNA (474 nucleotides) under uncultured Serratia sp. RNAcentral's name for it is "bacterial SSU rRNA". It matches the Rfam family "Bacterial small subunit ribosomal RNA", at positions 1028 to 1502 of the family's 1533-position model. The record is from RNAcentral. Lineage: Bacteria; Pseudomonadati; Pseudomonadota; Gammaproteobacteria; Enterobacterales; Yersiniaceae.
UCUGAGACAGGUGCUGCAUGGCUGUCGUCAGCUCGUGUUGUGAAAUGUUGGGUUAAGUCCCGCAACGAGCGCAACCCUUAUCCUUUGUUGCCAGCGGUUCGGCCGGGAACUCAAAGGAGACUGCCAGUGAUAAACUGGAGGAAGGUGGGGAUGACGUCAAGUCAUCAUGGCCCUUACGAGUAGGGCUACACACGUGCUACAAUGGCGUAUACAAAGAGAAGCGACCUCGCGAGAGCAAGCGGACCUCAUAAAGUACGUCGUAGUCCGGAUUGGAGUCUGCAACUCGACUCCAUGAAGUCGGAAUCGCUAGUAAUCGUAGAUCAGAAUGCUACGGUGAAUACGUUCCCGGGCCUUGUACACACCGCCCGUCACACCAUGGGAGUGGGUUGCAAAAGAAGUAGGUAGCUUAACCUUCGGGAGGGCGCUUACCACUUUGUGAUUCAUGACUGGGGUGAAGUCGUAACAAGGUAACCA